Molecule: long non-coding RNA, 1094 nt
Organism: Acanthopagrus latus (yellowfin seabream)
Lineage: Eukaryota; Metazoa; Chordata; Actinopteri; Spariformes; Sparidae
Exons: 3
Source: RefSeq, a predicted model, not a curated record
CCGUUUAUUCCUGAUAUAUACACCUACUAAGUAGUUCCAGUCAAAUUGUAUGUUGAACAUUCUAAAUUAAUGCACUGUCUGGCGUUCCAGCCUGUCUCUAAAAUGAGUAACCAUAGCAAUGGGAACGCACCACAACAAACCAACAACAACGAGUGACUUCAACAUUUCUUUUAACCUAUUUGGAGAAUAUGACAGCUUUGAUGACUGGGAUGCAGCUGAAGGAAGAGAAAUUGAAAAGAAAGAGGGAAACGGCACAAGGAGUUAACACUAGGAGAAUAUAAUCAAAUAGAAGAUGAAAAAGAUGAGACCAACACCAAAAAAACCAAGCAGUGCCCAGCAUGAGGCAUGUCUUUUUUGAUUUCAGUUACCAAAUAGUCCAACUCUGCAUUUGAACAGGUGCUAUAGAGUGCUCUGACAGAAAAGCCAAACUUUCUCAUUCUUCUGAAGAUAGAGCAAGUGGACACUCCCAUUAAGAUAGCAAUACACGGCACAGGAAGACCUCGGUUGAUGACAUGUGACAGAGAAACAUCAAAUCCAGCCCAGUUGCUCCAUGACGAACCUGCACACAUACUAUGGGGACCUGAUUUUCUCUUUGUUCAACAACCAACUUGUGCAGCUCUGUGAGUGCAUCUACAAUGGCUUUUGGGAUGAGAACCUGGUCAGAGACAGCACUAAAAAGAACGGCCUCCUGAGAUCCCACAAAUUCAAGGUGAAGGACAACAUUUGGCUUUUGAUAGCUCAGAAGCUUGGCUCCGGGAUGAUGCUGCUUUAGUCAAGAAAUUAUGGAGGAACCUUCUUAACACGAACAUGAAGAGAAGGAGAGAGGAGCUGUCAACCAAAAGUGGCCAGGACAGCAACUCCACCAAGAAUCUGGUGCAGCAUACCAGCCGCAGAAAGGUUACUCUGAACAAGCAUUUGGUCAACUUGGUCACUCCACCAGCUUUACCUCUAUGUAGUGUUGCUUAGUUUUACUAAAUGUAUCUUUUAUUAUUGUUGACUUAGUGAAUUAACUUCCAAUAUGUUCUUAUUAUUAGCUUAUUUGUUGUAUUUAUGGUGUAUUGUUUUAUUGUUAUUAAACUGUUAUUUCAUAUGGA